Dipodomys ordii (Ord's kangaroo rat) is the source of this 106-nucleotide small nuclear RNA. NCBI's taxonomy places the organism in Eukaryota, Metazoa, Chordata, Mammalia, Rodentia, Heteromyidae. The record is from Ensembl.
GUACUUGCUUCGCAGAUUAUGCACUAAAAUGAGACUAAUACAGAGAAAAUCUGCAUGGUCCUUGUGCAGGACUGACACACAGAUUCUUGAAGCAUUCCAUUUUUUA